AUUGAACGCUGGCGGCAGGCCUAACACAUGCAAGUCGAACGGUAACAGGAAGCAGCUUGCUGCUUCGCUGACGAGUGGCGGACGGGUGAGUAAUGUCUGGGAAACUGCCUGAUGGAGGGGGAUAACUACUGGAAACGGUAGCUAAUACCGCAUAACGUCGCAAGACCAAAGAGGGGGACCUUAGGGCCUCUUGCCAUCGGAUGUCCCAGAUGGGAUUAGCUAGUAGGUGGGGUAACGGCUCACCUAGGCGACGAUCCCUAGCUGGUCUGAGAGGAUGACCAGCCACACUGGAACUGAGACACGGUCCAGACUCCUACGGGAGGCAGCAGUGGGGAAUAUUGCACAAUGGGCGCAAGCCUGAUGCAGCCAUGCCGCGUGUAUGAAGAAGGCCUUCGGGUUGUAAAGUACUUUCAGCGGGGAGGAAGGGAGUAAAGUUAAUACCUUUGCUCAUUGACGUUACCCGCAGAAGAAGCACCGGCUAACUCCGUG
RNAcentral lists this ribosomal RNA (489 nucleotides) under uncultured bacterium. Its description in RNAcentral is "partial 16S ribosomal RNA". It matches the Rfam family "Bacterial small subunit ribosomal RNA", at positions 30 to 507 of the family's 1533-position model. The record is from RNAcentral.